This 542-nucleotide ribosomal RNA is filed under the name Monilinia urnula. RNAcentral's name for it is "SSU rRNA". It matches the Rfam family "Eukaryotic small subunit ribosomal RNA", at positions 559 to 1104 of the family's 1831-position model. The record is from RNAcentral. Lineage: Eukaryota; Fungi; Ascomycota; Leotiomycetes; Helotiales; Sclerotiniaceae.
GUCUGGUGCCAGCAGCCGCGGUAAUUCCAGCUCCAAUAGCGUAUAUUAAAGUUGUUGCAGUUAAAAAGCUCGUAGUUGACCCUUGGGCCUGGUUGGCCGGUCCGCCUCACCGCGUGCACUGGUCCGACCGGGUCUUUCCUUCUGGGGAGCCGCAUGCCCUUCACUGGGUGUGUCGGGGAGCCAGGACUUUUACUUUGAAAAAAUUAGAGUGUUCAAAGCAGGCGUAUGCUCGAAUACAUUAGCAUGGAAUAAUAGAAUAAGACGUGUGGUUUUUAUUUUGUUGGCCUUUUAGGACCGCCGUAAUGAUUAAUAGGGAUAGUCGGGGGCAUCAGUAUUCAAUUGUCAGAGGUGAAAUUCUUGGAUUUAUUGAAGACUAACUACUGCGAAAGCAUUUGCCAAGGAUGUUUUCAUUAAUCAGUGAACGAAAGUUAGGGGAUCGAAGACGAUCAGAUACCGUCGUAGUCUUAACCAUAAACUAUGCCGACUAGGGAUCGGGUGAUGUUAUCUUAUGACUCGCUCGGCACCUCACGAGAAAUCAAAGU